Molecule: long non-coding RNA, 393 nt
Filed under: Capra hircus (goat)
Lineage: Eukaryota; Metazoa; Chordata; Mammalia; Artiodactyla; Bovidae
Description: lncRNA (ENSCHIG00000002124.1)
Source: RNAcentral
CUCUGUCCACACACAUGUUGCUGUGACACUUACCAUCUUCCUUUUCUUCCAGUGCACGUUGUCAUUUUAUGGGCAGGUAACUGGUCUUUGAACCAUACUUUUGCAAACAUGGACCCAGUGAAGAAAACUGUGCCUCACCCAGAUGUCCAAGACCUGGAGCCAGAGACUGGAGGAUCCUCGAGGCUUGUUUUCUUUCAGAAAUGAAAGAAUGAGUACCGUGAAUUGGACGUGUCUCUAUCUAGGAUGGUAUUUCAUGCCUUCAUGGACCAUGUUGGAGAUUUAAGUCCAAUCAAGGACCAGUGAUGAGAUGGACAUAAGGAUGACUGAAGCUGAGAGAGAAAAAAAAGGUGAUAUUCUCACAUAUUUUACAAUUCUUAAAAAAUGAAUUCACAG